This 197-nucleotide unclassified non-coding RNA is filed under the name uncultured Sebacinales. RNAcentral's name for it is "sequence contains ITS1". Lineage: Eukaryota; Fungi; Basidiomycota; Agaricomycetes; Sebacinales. The record is from RNAcentral.
GUGAAUCUUCAAAAGUCGGCCCGUCGGAUUGUGCUGGUGGAGACACAUGUGCACAUCUGGUGAGUCGCAAACCCACACACCUGUGCAUCUAUGACUCUGAGUGCCGCUUUGCAUGGCCUUGACCGGCCUGGCGCUCGAGUACUUUUUCAUACACUUUGUUUAUUGGAAUGAUUGAAUAAAAAAUUAAAUUGCGAAAA